This 252-nucleotide ribosomal RNA is filed under the name uncultured bacterium. RNAcentral's name for it is "partial 16S ribosomal RNA". It matches the Rfam family "Bacterial small subunit ribosomal RNA", at positions 524 to 776 of the family's 1533-position model. The record is from RNAcentral.
UACGUAGGGUGCGAGCGUUGUCCGGAAUUAUUGGGCGUAAAGGGCUCGUAGGCGGUCUGUUGCGUCGGGAGUGAAAACUCAGGGCUUAACCCUGAGCCUGCUUCCGAUACGGGCAGACUAGAGGUAUGCAGGGGAGAACGGAAUUCCUGGUGUAGCGGUGAAAUGCGCAGAUAUCAGGAGGAACACCAAUAGCGAAGGCAGCUCGCUGGGACGUACUGACACUGAGGCGCGAAAGCGUGGGGAGCGAACAGG